CACUCUAUGUCUCUGUAAGAUUUGGAAUGAUUGUGAUUUGUCUUGGCACAGCUCCCAGAAGACUUACAACUUUCAGACAGGUUCCUCACGUCACAUCUACGGCAUCAGGCUCAGUUGGCGGCUGCGCUGUAACGCUUAGCUAUCACCGGAAAAGUGCUUCUAAUAUCCUUCACUGGUCUCCGUCCAGAGCAACGGGGUCUGUUGGUCCAUUUCUUUAA
This is a long non-coding RNA of Etheostoma cragini (Arkansas darter), 218 nucleotides long. RefSeq lists it as uncharacterized. The record is from RefSeq and is a predicted model, not a curated record. Lineage: Eukaryota; Metazoa; Chordata; Actinopteri; Perciformes; Percidae. The transcript is spliced from 3 exons.